Molecule: long non-coding RNA, 1162 nt
Organism: Gasterosteus aculeatus aculeatus (three-spined stickleback)
Lineage: Eukaryota; Metazoa; Chordata; Actinopteri; Perciformes; Gasterosteidae
Source: Ensembl
CAUUUUUCUGCACUUAGGGUUUGCUUUAUUUAUGAGAGGGGGACAUGUCCCCACAGCAACGCAGUGACUCAUCCCAAGGUCCUGCUGCCGUGAGGAGGCAAACCACAUACUACUACUACUACAUACAUAGACAACACACAUACAGACUAAGAUAAACAUACAAGAUGAAAUACAACAUUAUGUUGGAGAGGGAAGGUCAGUGUUCUUUGAAAGAGGAAAAGGAAACGUAAGCAUCGCAAAAAAGGUCUCCCUGCCACCGCCAUUCGACCUCUGCAGCUCAUCCAGAAUACAGCAGCUCGACUGGUCUUUAACCUUCCAAAAUUCUCCCACACUACUUCACUGUUGCCCACGUCCUGUAUCCAGUUCAAAACAUUGGUACUCGCGUACCAUGCUUUGAAUGGAUCGGGUCCAGUCUACAUCCAGGACAUGGUCAAACCCGACAUCCCAACCCGUGCACUCCGCUCUGCAUCAGCCAAACUGCUUGUUCCUCCCUCACUGAGAGCAAAACACUCGACAAGAUCACGACUCUUUGCUGUCCUUGGAGCCGGAAUGGUGGAAUGAGCUCUCUGAUGACAUCAGGACUGCAGAGAGUCUUAACAUCUUCCACUGCAAACUAAGACAUACCUCUUCAGACUCUACCAUGACUGAAAACUAGGGCUGUCAACAUCAAUGGAUUAAUCUAUGCGAUUAAUGUGGCCUAGAUUAAACAGUCGGGCGACAUACAGCAGAGAACUGUGCAGAGCAAUAACUCUACGUGUCAAACAGAAGGGGGGUGAGUAGAAAAUGGAACACUUAAAGUACUGCUAUCUUAAGCUAGCUGCUAAGCUAACCUAGCUGCUAUCCUACUUCCAUCUCAAUAUCUAACAUUACCCUGAGCGGCACACAGUCUGCACUGCACUGUGUCCCUAAAAGACCGUGGUUUGAAAAUGUUCUGACUAAAUGUGGGGAGAUUGUUGGCACUUCAAACACAGCCGUUAAAUGAUCGAGAGUUGAGAGCAAAGUGCACGAGGACAGCAGGAAGAGUCACUAGUUCAACAUGUUCCACCUGGUGGAAUUCUGCCUCCAAGAUUAUUACGUGUGUAGUUUUGUCAGCGAUUCCUUAUUAGUUUUAAGAUUUAGUCUGUAGAAGAAAAACAAACAUUCAUUAUUAACAACAUUGUAA